Molecule: non-coding RNA, 722 nt
Organism: Rattus norvegicus (Norway rat)
Lineage: Eukaryota; Metazoa; Chordata; Mammalia; Rodentia; Muridae
Source: RefSeq, a predicted model, not a curated record
AUGACAUAAUCAGUAGGCCCUCCCUGAAACAUCUAUUGAAACCUGGAGAGGACUAGCUUCUUCUGUGAUGUCACAAGUGUUGUCGUGACUGCAACUCCCUUCAGAUAUCCCUUCAGUACCUCUAGUGUUUACUAAUUUAACUCUAAUCGAGAGUAAACAGUCAUUGUGGAGUGAGAAGGAAGAGGAUGAUGAGAUCAGAGAUGGGAAGAAGGAGGUGGUCUUCUGUCUUGUUAUAAAAAAAGGAUGAAAUACAUGGUAUUUCAGAAAGCUCAGUGAGUCCUUGUAGGAGUUGAGUAGGAUCACUGAAGAGAUAGACUUGUUCUGAGCCUUCUGCAUAUGGGAAUCUAGAGCUGCGAGCCUCUCAGAAACAUCUGGACUUCGCAGUUCUUAUGGCUCCUGGAAGUCAGAGUUUUUAUAUCAUUCAUUUCUUUAUUCCAAAUGCCAAGAAUUUUGAAGAAAAACUCUCAAAACUCAUCCUGGCUGACAAUGUAGAUUAGACGCAUCAGAUGAAAUGAAUUGAAAAACUCUCCUGGGAAUGAAAGUGGUAAGGAAAUCACAUUGAUGUAUCCUAAAUGCAGUGCUAAGAGCAAUAUUCAGACUAGUCUGUGGAGAUGCUGCUGUCAUCAGAGACCACAGACAAUUAGUGGAGAAUGAUUCAGCAUUAAACUGGGAAUGGAAGAUGAUGGUUGAUAUUGUUCUAGUAGAUCUCACUACAUUAAAAA